Molecule: long non-coding RNA, 686 nt
Organism: Haemorhous mexicanus (house finch)
Lineage: Eukaryota; Metazoa; Chordata; Aves; Passeriformes; Fringillidae
Exons: 3
Source: RefSeq, a predicted model, not a curated record
CCUGCGGGGAGGAAAACGGAGCUGAGGGUCCUCGAAAACCCAACCCCGAAUAACAGCAGGGAUUGUGGGAGGGAUAGAGAGCCCAGCGCUGAGAGCGGAAAGAGGGACGUGCAGCUCCAAGCGAGGGGUUGCUCAUCUCCAGCCAGUAGUCGGGAUAUUUUCCCUUCUUUCCCUGUCUCUGGUCGAGGGAGAAGGUUUUGGAGAGGACACGGAGGCCACAGCGAUGCAGGGACGAGGCAGCGCUGGCACAGACAGCACCAUCAAUGUGUGCGGAGGCUGCCGGCGCCCGCCGUAAUCCACAACACAUUUCUGAGUGUCGAGGCGCGUCCUUUCCAGCCCGGCUUGGAAAACACAAGCAGCCGGCCAGGCUCCCACCGGAGAGCAUCUCCUCCCGAGCGAGCCGAGCCGUUAUGAACCCUGUCCCUAGAACAACCCAAGCAAUUCAACUUGCAAAUUUUGGGAACCACAACCUCAUCAGUGGUUCCCAGCUUCCCUCAGAACAAGCAAAGGCACGGAUUUGUCACCCACGCACGGAGCAGCAGCUCCAGUUUACACAUGGAGGAAGCCACAUCUGAACAGUUUGCCCCAAAAUCACAAUUCAGACAAGACUGAGGUGGAGAGCAGCUGCCACAGUCCCACAGCCCCAAGAAAGUCCCCGUACUUCUGCCUGGCUGCUCCUCACCUGC